This is a long non-coding RNA of Eurytemora carolleeae, 674 nucleotides long. RefSeq lists it as uncharacterized. The record is from RefSeq and is a predicted model, not a curated record. The transcript has 5 exons. NCBI's taxonomy places the organism in Eukaryota, Metazoa, Arthropoda, Copepoda, Calanoida, Temoridae.
GCCUGAAGUUGGGCUGGAAACUCCUGCAAAGAGUAUUAAAUUGAAAAGCAUUCUCAAUGCGGGAACUUUCUUUGAGUGGCAGUUACUUCGUGUUGUUGAGACUGAAUAAGGAAGAGAGGAGAUGUCUGAAAGUGAAGGAGAGAAACGGGAAUCUCACUCUCAAUCUGAUGUAGCAUCUGCCAGAAGAUCUAUGAUUGGAAAUGGUUUGAGCACUCCAUCUGAAAACAUCACAGAGUUUGAAUCUCAGUUGUUGUUAGGUAAACAAAAUAGAGUUCCUCAUUUAAAUGUUCAUGAUAAUCCAGUGCUUAGGAUCUAAUUAAUUUUGAUGCUGCUCCGGAUCCAGAUCCUGAAUAGGCACUGGAAAAAUUGAAUCCGGAUCUAGCAAAUGCCAGAAGAUCUAUGAUUGGAAAUGGAUUGAGCACUACAACUAAAAACAUCCAAGAGUUUGAAUCCCAAUCCUUUGGUAAAUAUGAUAGAGUUAAUAUAUUAGGUGUUCCUCAUUUAAAUUUUCCAGAAGUGACAACCUCAUAGGAUCUACUAAAUUUGUAUGGGGAUCUGGAUUCAGAUCCUGAAUAAGCUCUGGUAAAAGUGGAUCUGGAUUCAAAUCCAGAUCCAGAUCCAGGCUAUUUCUUUAAAAAUUGACUUAUUUUUUUUCAACAUAGCAAAAUUUUCAA